AGUGAACGCUGGCGGUAGGCCUAACACAUGCAAGUCGAACGGCAGCACAGUAAGAGCUUGCUCUUACGGGUGGCGAGUGGCGGACGGGUGAGGAAUACAUCGGAAUCUACUUUUUCGUGGGGGAUAACGUAGGGAAACUUACGCUAAUACCGCAUACGACCUACGGGUGAAAGCAGGGGAUCUUCGGACCUUGCGCGAUUGAAUGAGCCGAUGUCGGAUUAGCUAGUUGGCGGGGUAAAGGCCCACCAAGGCGACGAUCCGUAGCUGGUCUGAGAGGAUGAUCAGCCACACUGGAACUGAGACACGGUCCAGACUCCUUCGGGAGGCAGCAGUUGGGAAUAUUGGCCAAAGGGCGCAAGCCUGAUCCAGCCAUACCGCGUGGGUGAAGAAGGCCUUCGGGUUGUAAAGCCCUUUUGUUGGGAAAGAAAAGCAGCAGGUUAAUACCCCGCUGUUCUGACGGUACCCAAAGAAUAAGCACCGGCUAACUUCGUG
This 492-nucleotide ribosomal RNA is filed under the name uncultured bacterium. RNAcentral's name for it is "partial 16S ribosomal RNA". It matches the Rfam family "Bacterial small subunit ribosomal RNA", at positions 29 to 507 of the family's 1533-position model. The record is from RNAcentral.